UACGAAGGGGGCUAGCGUUGUUCGGAUUUACUGGGCGUAAAGCGCACGUAGGCGGAUCGUUAAGUCGGGGGUGAAAUCCUGGAGCUCAACUCCAGAACUGCCUUCGAUACUGGCGAUCUUGAGUCCGGAAGAGGUGAGUGGAACUCCUAGUGUAGAGGUGGAAUUCGUAGAUAUUAGGAAGAACACCAGUGGCGAAGGCGGCUCACUGGUCCGGUACUGACGCUGAGGUGCGAAAGCGUGGGGAG
Molecule: ribosomal RNA, 245 nt
Filed under: uncultured bacterium
Lineage: Bacteria
Also listed under: 1 other name
Description: partial 16S ribosomal RNA
Rfam family: Bacterial small subunit ribosomal RNA
Source: RNAcentral